GAACGCCGUGUGCGGUGAAAGUCGCACGCACGGUGUGGAGUGGGGGAAAAUUCGGAGAUAACUUCAAAGAAUUACCUAUCACUAU
Molecule: non-coding RNA, 85 nt
Filed under: Anaerotignum propionicum DSM 1682
Lineage: Bacteria; Bacillati; Bacillota; Clostridia; Lachnospirales; Anaerotignaceae
Source: RNAcentral